Long non-coding RNA from Leptopilina boulardi, 2169 nucleotides. RefSeq lists it as uncharacterized. Lineage: Eukaryota; Metazoa; Arthropoda; Insecta; Hymenoptera; Figitidae. The transcript is spliced from 4 exons. The record is from RefSeq and is a predicted model, not a curated record.
AGCGCGCGACAUUGUGCCGAAAGCACUAUAUCCUCUCGCACUGCCUAGCUUAUUUCGUUCCCCCUUCGCGAGUGACAACCCUCCCCCAUUUUCAAAUUAAACAUAUUUAAGACGGGGGAACAUAAUUUUUCUUUUUCGGCUGCUAAAAAAAUUUCACUAAAAAAAUAAGUCUUGCAACAAAAAUUUAUUUGUGGAAAAAACAACAGCUCAGGUUUUCAAAAACUGUUUUAUUUUUGUUGAAAAGUCUGUAAAAAGUCCCCGCAAUAUAUGUAAUAACAAAGUCCCAUGUGUCGUGUGCAGUGCUAAACUGUUGAUUGUGGCUAGAGUGUGUAGAGUGCACUUGAGACUCGUGAGAAUUAUUUUCAAUGGAAUCUUGAUAAUGAAAGAUCCUUGAGAUAUACAGGAGAUAUUUUAUAAAGAAGAAAUUAUUUGAGAAAAGAAACUUGUGCUCGAAAAAAGAGAUUCUCGGAAGGAUGUUCAGGUAGCUUCUCAAGUAUGCACAAGGUUGUGUCAAGGAUACAGCGACUUUUGCGAAGGACUAGAAGAAGAGCCUCCUGAAGAACUAUAAAAUUAUAUGAAUUAAUUUUCUUCAAGAUAUGAAAAGUGUUUCUUAAAGAAGAUUACCCUAGUGGCGUCCAGGAACUGUUCUCCUUAGUGGGCUGUGAACUGAUCUUCCUGAUGGUCCUAACAAAGAUUAUUCUGAAGAUCCCAAAAAUAGAGUUACAGAGAAAGAUUAUCCUACAGGUCCAGAAAUAGAUUUUUGCAAGAUCCAUUAAGAACAUUAUUCUUUAGAUUCAGUACAAAAUCAUUUUACAGAUGCAGAGAAUGGUUCAAGUAAAUGAUCUUCUAUAAUAGGUAAAGUAACUAUUCUACCUGAAAGUGGAGAAAAAAAUCUAUUUGGAGGUUCUUCUUUACGGAGAUUGUUAUUGAACUUGAAAGCGAUCAUCAGCAAAAUCCAGGAAAAUAUCUUACUAAGAAUUUUGCAAAAAAUUAUCUCAAGAACUGAAAUUAAUGAAAAACAUCAUAAAAAUACCAUCAAAAGUAUCUUGAGAAAUCAAUUAUCCUGAAGAUUCGGAAAGAGAUCGUUUAAAAAUUAGAAUGUAAGAGCUUUCAAAAGGACAAUAAGUGGAAAAUCUAACAGGAACAGUGAGAAGUUGAAGGAUUCGAGGUCUUGCAGAGAAAAUAAGAUAUUUUGGAAGAAGAGAAAUUGCAUCGAUUCAAUAAAGUCAACUUGUGCUGGUAGAAUGUGUUGAAUUCGAGGACCAUAACAUUAGUGGUGAAAAAAAUAUAUUUCUGUGAGAUUGAGAGUAGUGUAUCGACAAUAGAGAAUGUUCAGCGGAAUCGGUGCACGGGUCAAGGAACGAAUGUUAGGAACGAAUGAAUUAUCGGAUGUUCGAGAAGCUCGAUGCAUUCGCAGGAAGCGCAUUGAAUUGAUUCGCUUUUUUUCGUUUUGUCCUACUUUCCGGUUACCUGAAAAGUCCUCCAUGUUGAAAUCCGGUCAUUGAGUUUUGCGAAAGAGCCGGGACGACGACGACUACGAGAAGAGGUACAGUUCCAAAGGCAAAAGCCACAACGUCCAUCUUGAAAAUAAAAUGUGCAGGAUAAUACGAUCUGCCUAAUUACCUCAAAGGACAAAGGAAAAGUGAAAGUUUUGGCCAAUAUAGACGAUGAACAAAAAGAGAUUUACUCCGUGGAGAUGACCGCCAGGUUAGCGCCGCGUCGAGACUGUCUCGACGACGACGUUGAUGAGGUUCCCGAGGGUCAUCACUCAGUCACUGCUUCCGCCCUCUGCCAUUGAGAGGAAGCUAAUUCCUCGUCGCAGUUCUCAGUGAUGCCGGCCGUUCCACACCAACAAGGACGAAGGCUUCCGAACGAGCGGAAUUAAUUGUGUAUCAAUAACAAAUCUCCUCGGCACUUUAGAAGUGCGACACUACUUUCUCCUACAAGUGUAAGAACUCGACUCAGAAGACAAAUUAGUCCAAAAUCAAAACGUGAGAUUUGCUUGCAUUUAACACAACAGUUUGAACAAUUUAUUGAAAUUCAACUUAUAGAGCAACGGUCAGACAAAACGUCGAAUAACAAAAUGUCAAACAGCAAAGACGACGAAUGGAUAAAAUGUCGAAUCUUUUUUUUGAGGUGAGUUAACUCUCUGUCUAAAAUGUCUAUAAA